UGUUUCUUAUACUUUCCCUUAAUUCCCAGAUAGGAGGGUACAAGGAUGUACCUGACAGCGAAGCCGCGACAGGACGUCGCGUCUGAGCGGUAUCGUCCGGCAGAAAUAUCCAUAUGGAAAGUAUUAGAAACAGC
This 134-nucleotide non-coding RNA is filed under the name uncultured Lachnospira sp. The record is from RNAcentral. Lineage: Bacteria; Bacillati; Bacillota; Clostridia; Lachnospirales; Lachnospiraceae.